Molecule: RNA transcript, 1073 nt
Organism: Magnolia sinica
Lineage: Eukaryota; Viridiplantae; Streptophyta; Magnoliopsida; Magnoliales; Magnoliaceae
Gene name: VAMP-like protein YKT61
Exons: 8
Source: RefSeq, a predicted model, not a curated record
UCAACUCCUCUCUCUCUCUCUCACACACACACACACACACACACACACACACCUCGGUGUCCGUCGAUUCAUCGACCGAUCGAUCGAGAAGGGAAUUUCAGAAAGAGAUGAAGAUCACGGCUCUUCUAGUUCUGAAAUGCAUCGAAUCAUCGGGAUCGGAUCCGAUCGUUCUAGCCAACGCGUCGGAUGUGAGCCAGUUCGGCUAUUUCCAGCGCACUGGAGCCAAGGAAUUCAUCCUAUUCUUUGGCCGCACUGUCGCCAAAAGGACUCCGCCCGGGCAACGCCAAUCCAUCCAGCAAGAUGAAUACAAGGUGCAUUCUUACAACAGAGAUGGAUUAUGUGCUUUGGCCUUUAUGGAUGAACAUUAUCCCGUGCGAAGUGCAUUUUCUCUCCUCAACAAGGUAGUAGAUGAAUAUCAGAAGAACUUUGGGGAUUCUUGGAGAACAAUUCAGACAGAUUCAACUCAACCAUGGCCCUAUCUGAGUGAUGCUGUAACGAAAUUUCAGGAUCCUGCAGAGGCUGAUAAGUUGCUUAAAAUUCAGAGGGAUUUGGAUGAAACCAAAAUUAUCCUUCAUAAGACUAUUGAUAGUGUGCUUGCACGAGGCGAGAGGCUGGAUAGCUUAGUCGACAAGAGCUCUGAUCUGAGUGCAGCCUCCCAGAUGUUUUACAAGCAAGCCAAGCAAACUAAUCAGUGCUGUACGAUAUUGUAAACUUACUCGGGAGAAGCGAAGGUCUUUGAAAGAGACUUCUUAUGAGGUGAUUGGAGAUUGCUUCGCAUGUGAAGCUGUAAAUUGCUGAGGAAAGAGAUGGCGAAGAGGGUGUGUUUAUUCAUCUCUGAUGUGCAGAAAAGGAGGAAUUGAAAAUAAAGGGAGCUUGCAGAUUGUUUAUAGAUGUCAUUUUAUUUUUUUGCUUUUCCAAAUUCAAUAUUCCUUAACGUUUUUUAUUUUUUAGUGGUUGUGGGGGAGAGUAGAGAUAUAUAGCUUGAUUUUUGUUUAUAUUUCUUCUCAUUUCAACAAUAGGCUCUCACUUAUUUCAAUCCAGAUGGAUGGGGAUGUGAAAUUUCUUUUGUUUCA